This 742-nucleotide ribosomal RNA is filed under the name uncultured bacterium. RNAcentral describes it as "bacterial SSU rRNA". It matches the Rfam family "Bacterial small subunit ribosomal RNA", at positions 8 to 796 of the family's 1533-position model. The record is from RNAcentral.
AGAGUUUGAUCAUGGCUCAGAACGAACGCUGGCGGCAUGGCUAAAACAUGCAAGUCGAACGUGCUCGCAAGAGCAAGUGGCGAAAGGGUCAGUAAUGCGAUCGAACGUACCCUGAGGUGGAGGAUAGGGCGGGGAAACUCGCCAUAAUACUCCAUGAUGUCCUCGGACCAAAGGUUUACCGCCUUGGGAGCGGCGAUCGUCCUAUCAGGUAGUUGGUGAGGUAACGGCUCACCAAGCCGAAGACGGGUAGCAGGUGUGAGAGCACGACCUGCGACAUCGGGACUGAGACACUGCCCGGACUUCUACGGAAGGCUGCAGUAACGAAUCUUCCGCAAUGGGCGAAAGCCUGACGGAGCAAUGCCGCGUGUGGGAUGAAGCGGCUACGCCGUGUAAACCACUGUCAGGGGACAGAAACAAUGAUCGUCCCCAAAGGAAGAGCCGGCUAACCCUGUGCCAGCAGCCGCGGUAAUACAGGGGGCUCGAGCGUUAGUCGGAAUCACUGGGCUUAAAGGGUGCGUAGGCGGCUCGCCAAGUGCUUUGUGAAAUCCCCGAGCUCAACUCGGGAACAGCAGGGCAAACUGGCGGGCUCGAAGCAGGUAGGGGCUGGAAGAACAGUAGGUGGAGCGGUGAAAUGCGUAGAUAUCUACUGGAAUGCCGAUGGGGAAGCCGUCCAGCUGGGCCUGUCUUGACGCUGAGGCACGAAAGCGUGGGGAGCAAACAGGAUUAGAUACCCUAGUAGUCC